GACGAACGCUGGCGGCGUGCCUAAUACAUGCAAGUAGAACGCUGAAGAGAGGAGCUUGCUCUUCUUGAAUGAGUUGCGAACGGGUGAGUAACGCGUAGGUAACCUGCCUUGUAGCGGGGGAUAACUAUUGGAAACGAUAGCUAAUACCGCAUAACAAUGGGUGACACAUGUCAUUUAUUUGAAAGGGGCAAUUGCUCCACUACAAGAUGGACCUGCGUUGUAUUAGCUAGUAGGUGAGGUAACGGCUCACCUAGGCGACGAUACAUAGCCGACCUGAGAGGGGGAUCGGCCAAACUGGGACUGAGACACGGCCCAGAAUCCUACGGGAGGCAGCAGUAGGGAAUCUUCGGCAAUGGGGGCAACCCUGACCGGGGAACGCCGCGUGAGGGAAGAAGGUUUUCGGAUCGGAAAGCUCUGUUGUAAGUCAAGAAUGAGUGUGAGAGUGGAAAGUUCACACUGUGACGGUAGCUUACCAGAAAGGGACGGCUAACUACGUG
This 497-nucleotide ribosomal RNA is filed under the name uncultured bacterium. RNAcentral describes it as "partial 16S ribosomal RNA". It matches the Rfam family "Bacterial small subunit ribosomal RNA", at positions 28 to 507 of the family's 1533-position model. The record is from RNAcentral.